GACGAACUGUGCAAACGUUAUUCGGAAUCACUGGGCUUAAAGGGUGCGUAGGCGGUCUUUUAAGUAGGGUGUGAAAGCCUCUGGCUCAACCAGAGAACUGCGCCCUAAACUAGAAGGCUUGAGUGAGGUAGGGGUGUGUGGAACUUCCAGUGGAGCGGUGAAAUGUGAUGAUAUUGGAAGGAACGCCGGUGGCGAAAGCGACACACUGGACCUUGUCUGACGCUGAGGCACGAAAGCCAGGGGAGCAAACGGG
RNAcentral lists this ribosomal RNA (253 nucleotides) under uncultured bacterium. RNAcentral describes it as "partial 16S ribosomal RNA". It matches the Rfam family "Bacterial small subunit ribosomal RNA", at positions 524 to 776 of the family's 1533-position model. The record is from RNAcentral.